UGGAGUUUUGGCCCGUUCUCCUGCAGAGCCUGGCACACCAGGCCGACUAAUGUCUGGGAGCCAAGCUGUCAAAGACAGGAGGUCGUAAACAACCGCAGCCUCAAACUGGCCAACACACGGAGAGGAGUAGUUUCACGUUCGUCUUACAGUCGGACGCGUCGGCCUCACGGGAAUUUACGAUGAUUCUGUCAAAAUGGCUGCUUUGCCGCUACCCUAGCCUGGCUGGCCCGGUUAACGGAUGCCAGAUCUGUGGCCACAGGUGUGACGUUUCCCCGUCUUCUCCUGCAGCAUCAGCAGACGGACGCAGCUCUUUCUGAACAUGGACGACUUCCUCUGGCGAGGGCACGAGUCGUCGCAUAAAUUACCCUACGGCACCAAGGGCAGUGAGCUGCUGCUGCUCAAAGUCCUCGCCGUGACUGCAAAUUAUCAGGUGCCAGACAACAUCGAAAAGCUUGAAUGUAGAAGAUGUGCAGUAAUAGGAAACAGUUUCUCCAUUAAAAACAGCUCCCUGGGAAACUUCAUCGACCAGUAUGAUGUAGUUAUUCGAUUAAACGAUGCUCCGGUGAAGGGCUACGAGAAGGAUGUGGGCAGCAAGACCACCAUGAGGUUCUUCUACCCUGAAUCAGCGUCCAACAACCCCGGACUGCACAAUGAGCCCGACACGCUGAUGGUCCUGGUGCCGUUCAAAGAGCAGGACCUGCAGUGGCUCAAAGAAAUCCUCUAUAAUGAAAAGAGGGUCAGGAAAGGCUUCUGGAAGCCGCCUCCCCAAAUCUGGACGGUGGACGUCGGUAAGAUUAGAGUCCUCGACCCUCACUUUCUGUUCCAUACUGCGGACCGAUUACUUCAGAUUCCUUUGCAGCCCAAAGAUCCCAGUUCAUCCCACCACGGGUCUCCUCGCCGUGUUCGUGGCUCUCAACUACUGCGACGUCGUCCACCUGGCAGGGUUUGGCUAUCCUAAAACAGCCAACCAGCGGCAGCCCAUCCACUACUACAGAAAUGACACCAUGUCGUCCAUGAAGAACUCCUACCACGACGUCAACCAUGAAGCCAGAGCCUUGAGGAGACUGGAAGAUUCUGGAGCGAUCUUCUACCUGCACGCGCAUUCAUGACGUGGACACCGUUAAAAACACGGACUGAAACUUCAGUGAAUGACAUCUGGAUCGUCAGGUGUCAUGUGACUCGAGACACUUGAAGCUGCUGCAGUGCCAUCCAGUGGGAGGUUGUGGGAGUUGAAGUUUGUUCGUGAACAUUGCCGAUCCUGCGGCGAACAGAUGAAUGAAGGUACGAAGAUUAGAAUUCUGGUUCGACCAGAAACAUCUCAAGUUUCACUGGUCUGAAUCAGAACCAGCGGUGAGUCACUGUUGGUCACUUUAGAACCCUGUGAAUGUUUGGACCAAUCACUGUAGGGUGUAGAUUUUUAUUUCAUUUUAUUUUGUUCUCAGCUCCAGGUCUGAGAUUUAAAAAUCGUUUUUGUCAGAAUCCAUGAAGAUCAUUUGUCAAAUCGCUCAGUGUAAUGAUAGGUUUCAUAGGUGGAAUAAAAAAAAUAACUUCCUUAAAUCUGAUUCACAGUUGAUGAUGACGAAGAUGUUGAACCCAUGUUCAUAAGAUGUUACUGAUGUUUUCAGACUGAAAUACAAAUUUGUAUUUUGACAGAUAUUAGGUUUCGCUAAAUGUUCUUAAUUUAUUACUUUGUUCCAGAAUUAAACUGGUGGGAUUUUUUGUCUUAAUUCUGAAGGGUUUUAAAAAAAAGUUUUAUUAAAAAUAAAAUGCAACAGAAUUGUA
This is an RNA transcript of Cynoglossus semilaevis (tongue sole), 1782 nucleotides long. It is a transcript of the gene named ST3 beta-galactoside alpha-2,3-sialyltransferase 4, with no coding region annotated. Lineage: Eukaryota; Metazoa; Chordata; Actinopteri; Pleuronectiformes; Cynoglossidae. The record is from RefSeq and is a predicted model, not a curated record. The transcript is spliced from 7 exons.